Molecule: long non-coding RNA, 461 nt
Filed under: Homo sapiens (human)
Lineage: Eukaryota; Metazoa; Chordata; Mammalia; Primates; Hominidae
Description: HSALNT0258359
Source: RNAcentral
GUGGAAGAGUUAUUCAUCCAAGCCCAGCACAGAAGGGCCCCAAAGCGGAAUUUCUCCAGAAGCCGCUGGCCCAGCGCUCAGGCCUCGCAGGCUCCAGCUCAAACCCACACAGCAUCAGAGGUUCCCCUAGGCGGCCCUUCCUGCAGCUCCCUGCCACGUUGACUGACUGCUUUUCCUGCCUGGGGAAUGAGCCCUUUCUCCUUUCUAUGACCAAAAGCUGUGCGGCCACCUGCUACGCUGGAUAGAUGAGCCCAUGACACCACCCAGUGAUUGCCUGUGUAGUGUGAGGUCGAUGACACCCACACGGGCCCCUUCACGUAGGCAAGCCGCUGUCAUGUGCCCUCUGCAACCUGGGACUCCUGCCUGCUCUGCUGUGAUACAGGGCUAGUGCCCUUCCUCCCUAGGCAUGGCUCAGGUCCCAGAAGCCACACUCGUCACAGGUGGAAGGAUGGCAGUGUUCU